GAUGAACGCUGGCGGCGUGCUUAACACAUGCAAGUCGAACGGAAAGGCCCAAGCUUGCUUGGGUACUCGAGUGGCGAACGGGUGAGUAACACGUGGGCGAUCUGCCCUGCACUUCGGGAUAAGCCUGGGAAACUGGGUCUAAUACCGGAUAGGACCACAUUUUGGAUGGUGUGGUGGAAAGUUUUUCGGUGUGGGAUGAGCUCGCGGCCUAUCAGCUUGUUGGUGGGGUAAUGGCCUACCAAGGCGUCGACGGGUAGCCGGCCUGAGAGGGUGUACGGCCACAUUGGGACUGAGAUACGGCCCAGACUCCUACGGGAGGCAGCAGUGGGGAAUAUUGCACAAUGGGCGCAAGCCUGAUGCAGCGACGCCGCGUGGGGGAUGACGGCCUUCGGGUUGUAAACUCCUUUCGCUAGGGACGAAGCGUUAUGUGACGGUACCUGGAGAAGAAGCACCGGCUAACUACGUG
RNAcentral lists this ribosomal RNA (466 nucleotides) under uncultured bacterium. Its description in RNAcentral is "partial 16S ribosomal RNA". It matches the Rfam family "Bacterial small subunit ribosomal RNA", at positions 28 to 507 of the family's 1533-position model. The record is from RNAcentral.